GACGAACCGUGCGAACGUUGUUCGGAAUCACUGGGCUUAAAGGGCGCGUAGGCGGGCUCCCAAGUCAGGGGUGAAAACUUUCGGCUCAACCGGAAAAGUGCUUCUGAUACUGGGAGUCUCGAGGGAGGUAGGGGUCGGUGGAACUGGUGGUGGAGCGGUGAAAUGCGUAGAUAUCGGGAGGAACACCUGUGGCGAAGGCGGCCCCCUGGUUGGAUACUGACGCUGAUACGCGAAAGCGUGGGGAGCAAACAGG
This 253-nucleotide ribosomal RNA is filed under the name uncultured bacterium. RNAcentral describes it as "partial 16S ribosomal RNA". It matches the Rfam family "Bacterial small subunit ribosomal RNA", at positions 524 to 776 of the family's 1533-position model. The record is from RNAcentral.